RNAcentral lists this ribosomal RNA (497 nucleotides) under uncultured bacterium. Its description in RNAcentral is "partial 16S ribosomal RNA". It matches the Rfam family "Bacterial small subunit ribosomal RNA", at positions 28 to 507 of the family's 1533-position model. The record is from RNAcentral.
GAUGAACGCUGGCGGCGUGCCUAAUACAUGCAAGUCGAGCGAACAGAUGAGGAGCUUGCUCCUCUGACGUUAGCGGCGGACGGGUGAGUAACACGUGGAUAACCUACCUAUAAGACUGGGAUAACUUCGGGAAACCGGAGCUAAUACCGGAUAAUAUAUCGAACCGCAUGGUUCAAUAGUGAAAGACGGUUUUGCUGUCACUUAUAGAUGGAUCCGCGCCGCAUUAGCUAGUUGGUAAGGUAACGGCUUACCAAGGCAACGAUGCGUAGCCGACCUGAGAGGGUGAUCGGCCACACUGGAACUGAGACACGGUCCAGACUCCUACGGGAGGCAGCAGUAGGGAAUCUUCCGCAAUGGGCGAAAGCCUGACGGAGCAACGCCGCGUGAGUGAUGAAGGUCUUCGGAUCGUAAAACUCUGUUAUUAGGGAGGAACAAAUGUGUAAGUAACUAUGCACGUCUUGACGGUACCUAAUCAGAAAGCCACGGCUAACUACGUG